This 516-nucleotide ribosomal RNA is filed under the name uncultured bacterium. RNAcentral describes it as "bacterial SSU rRNA". It matches the Rfam family "Bacterial small subunit ribosomal RNA", at positions 9 to 521 of the family's 1533-position model. The record is from RNAcentral.
GAGUUUGAUCCUGGCUCAGGACGAACGCUGGCGGCGCGCCUAACACAUGCAAGUCGAACGGAGUUAUUCUGAAUGAAGUUUUCGGAUGGAUUUUGGAUUAACUUAGUGGCGAACGGGUGAGUAACGCGUGAGUAACCUGCCCUGGAGUGGGGGACAACAGUUGGAAACGACUGCUAAUACCGCAUAAGCCCACGGUGCCGCAUGGCACAGCGGGAAAAGGAUUUAUUCGCUUCAGGAUGGACUCGCGUCCAAUUAGCUAGUUGGUGAGGUAACGGCCCACCAAGGCGACGAUUGGUAGCCGGACUGAGAGGUUGAACGGCCACAUUGGGACUGAGACACGGCCCAGACUCCUACGGGAGGCAGCAGUGGGGAAUAUUGCACAAUGGGGGAAACCCUGAUGCAGCGACGCCGCGUGGAGGAAGAAGGUCUUCGGAUUGUAAAACUCCUGUUGUUGAGGAAGAUAAUGACGGUACUCAACAAGGAAGUGACGGCUAACUACGUGCCAGCAGCCGCUGU